Molecule: small nuclear RNA, 191 nt
Filed under: Lates calcarifer (barramundi perch)
Lineage: Eukaryota; Metazoa; Chordata; Actinopteri; Centropomidae
Description: U2 spliceosomal RNA (ENSLCAG00010000031.1)
Rfam family: U2 spliceosomal RNA
About the family: U2 is a small nuclear RNA (snRNA) component of the spliceosome (involved in pre-mRNA splicing). Complementary binding between U2 snRNA (in an area lying towards the 5' end but 3' to hairpin I) and the branchpoint sequence (BPS) of the intron results the bulging out of an unpaired adenosine, on the BPS, which initiates a nucleophilic attack at the intronic 5' splice site, thus starting the first of two transesterification reactions that mediate splicing.
Source: Rfam by way of RNAcentral
AUCGCUUCUCGGCCUUUUGGCUAAGAUCAAGUGUAGUAUCUGUUCUUAUCAGUUUAAUAUCUGAUACGUCCCCUACCCGGGGACCAUAUAUUAAAUUGAUUUUUGGAUCAGGGAGCCGGAACGGGGCUUGCUCCUUCCACUCCACGCAUCGACCCAGGUAUUGCAUUACCUCCAGGUACGGUGCACAUUCU